CCCGCGAUAGCUCAACGGUAGAGCGCCCGGCUGUAGACCGGGAGGUUGCCGGUUCGAAUCCGGCUCGCGGGA
RNAcentral lists this transfer RNA (72 nucleotides) under Candidatus Aenigmatarchaeota archaeon. RNAcentral's name for it is "tRNA-Tyr". It matches the Rfam family "tRNA". From Rfam's summary of the family: Transfer RNA (tRNA) molecules are approximately 80 nucleotides in length. The record is from RNAcentral. Lineage: Archaea; Nanobdellati; Candidatus Aenigmatarchaeota.